CUAAGUUCAAAGAACCCUCAUCUCUGAGAAUUCAACAGCUAAGGAAGCAACUACCGCCUGGGAUGUGCAGAAAUAUUUAACAAACCUUAUUGCAUGCCUAAGGUUCUGAGGAGAGACUUUAGAGAGAGACAGAGAAGGACUACUGCAGCCUCCAUUAUCGUCACUGUCAAUAUGUUACUAUUGGGGAAGGAUUUCAGUUAUAUGCUUUGAAACUGUGCCUUGUUACUACUACCCUCAUUCUGCACUUCAGUAAAGAGAGACUUAUUUAUGUAUACCAGCGGGCCUGGUUACUGACUCCACCAUCCACCGGCUAUUACGCUUGCUCCCCUGCCUCGCACCUAAAUAUCUAGGGCACCCCAACUACCAACAGGCAGGAACUCCAGCUCCAAGCAGUGACCUGAGGGACGAAAGGGUGUGCCCUCCAGUCCCAGCGACAGCAAGAGGGGGAGAUCACCACUGUGACCUGUGGAUUCCUUUUCAAACAGUGGAAGGAACGAUACUUGCAGCUCACCCAGGAAGGUAGCCUUCUUCUGUCCAGAGAUCCAGAGUCUUCAACAGAUCUAGAAAUUCCACUUCUUACUCGUUGUCGAGCAAUACUCGAGGGGCUCUGAGCCUCGGAGACAUGCCCAAACUGCCUAUUGGCAUCAGAGGAACAGCUGUCUAGGUCUCUCCUUGAGUGAUGGAAGAACACUUCUGCUCCUUGCCCCAGAUUCACAAGAGUGCAGCAAAUGGAUAAAUGUUCUACGGAAAGUAAAAGAGAGUUUGUCGCAGCCUCCACUUUCCCCAACAGUUGUAGACUGCACAACAAAUCCCCUAUCCGGAGAUGCUGCUGGAGUGAUGUUUCAAAUCAAACCCAAGGACAAGACCCAAGGAAAAGAAGGUAGAGCAGCUCAUUGUAAAGUAAAAUGUCCUCCACAUUGCCUCCGUCAUGGUUUCCCAACUGCAUUGGGGGGUGAAGACAGCAGGUGUGCUUAUGGGAGGAGCUGCUGCAGGCCCAACACUGGGGUACAUGGUGACUUCAAGUCAUGGUUCUCGGUUCUAUUGACACCGCUCCACCAGAUUUUCGAGAGCUGGGCUACCACCCUUCAACAGAUGUAGAAGGCUGCCAGUAGUGAUGUGGAGUUUGAAGGCAUGGACCAGGAUUUCAAUGGUUUGAUUUUGGAGGAUUUGCCUUUUAAACAUCUUCUAGUGUGUACCUACUGCCCCAAAGUAAGACUCCAGCAAUUACCCUAAGAACCUUAGUAGAAGAUCAAGGGAAGUUUGAUAUAACAUAAUACUGUCCAAGGAAAUUCUCAGUAGUCAAGUACUGUACGACCAAUGAGUAGGCAGUAGAUGAUAUCAAUCCUAUGUAUCUGUGACAAUUCACUUGUGUUUGAGGGGUUAGAGAUACCUCAUGCCAGUCUGUCAAAAUGAUUGAUUUUGUUAAGUGAUUUUUGUCCAAUAAGGAAGAAAUAAAUAUCUACAUAUAUUGACCUCUUUAUACCACCAUUUAGGUUUUAA
This is a long non-coding RNA of Bufo bufo (common toad), 1500 nucleotides long. RefSeq lists it as uncharacterized. Lineage: Eukaryota; Metazoa; Chordata; Amphibia; Anura; Bufonidae. The record is from RefSeq and is a predicted model, not a curated record. The transcript has 5 exons.